This 253-nucleotide ribosomal RNA is filed under the name uncultured bacterium. Its description in RNAcentral is "partial 16S ribosomal RNA". It matches the Rfam family "Bacterial small subunit ribosomal RNA", at positions 524 to 776 of the family's 1533-position model. The record is from RNAcentral.
UACGGAGGGUGCAAGCGUUGUUCGGAAUUACUGGGCGUAAAGCGCACGUAGGUGGGUGUGCAAGUCAAUUGUGAAAUCCCAAGGCUUAACCUUGGAAUUGCAGUUGAAACUGCAUAUCUUGAAUGCUUGAGAGGGUGACGGAAUUCCUGGUGUAGAAGUGAAAUUCGUAGAUAUCAGGAGGAACACCGGAGGCGAAGGCGGUUACCUGGCGAUGCAUUGACACUGAGGUGAGAAAGCGUGGGGAGCAAACAGG